Molecule: long non-coding RNA, 209 nt
Filed under: Elaeis guineensis (African oil palm)
Lineage: Eukaryota; Viridiplantae; Streptophyta; Magnoliopsida; Arecales; Arecaceae
Description: long non-coding RNA (EGUI_LNC024331)
Source: RNAcentral
CCCAUUUUUAACAAAACUAAAGAAGCAUAGCUCAUGCUCAAAACUAGUAUUGUCAAUUCCCCAAGUUGCAGCAAUAAUAUAUUAGAAAUACAUUAAAUUUAGCUUGGUGGAUUAUUUACAUUGAUGUAGAGAUGACUUUUUAUUGGUUAAGUGUGGGUAUAGACCUAAUUCAAAUGAAUAAAAUAGUAAUUGUGGCAUUAACAAGGGAA